UACGGAGGGUGCAAGCGUUAAUCGGAAUUACUGGGCGUAAAGGGUAUGUAGGCGGCUUGAUAAGUUAAGUGUGAAAUUCCCGGGCUCAACCUGGGGUGGUCAUUUAAGACUGUCAGACUAGAGUAUGGGAGAGGGUAGUGGAAUUUCCGGUGUAGCGGUGAAAUGCGUAGAGAUCGGAAGGAACACCAGUGGCGAAGGCGGCUACCUGGCCUAAUACUGACGCUGAGAUACGAAAGCAUGGGGAGCAAACAGG
This 253-nucleotide ribosomal RNA is filed under the name uncultured bacterium. RNAcentral's name for it is "partial 16S ribosomal RNA". It matches the Rfam family "Bacterial small subunit ribosomal RNA", at positions 524 to 776 of the family's 1533-position model. The record is from RNAcentral.